UACAGAGGUGGCAAGCGUUGUUCGGAAUUACUGGGCGUAAAGGGCGCGUAGGCGGCCUUCUAAGUCAGACGUGAAAUCCCCAGGCUUAACUUGGGAACUGCGUCUGAUACUGGGAGGCUUGAGUGCGGGAGAGGGAUGUGGAAUUCCAGGUGUAGCGGUGAAAUGCGUAGAUAUCUGGAGGAAUACCGGUGGCGAAGGCGGCAUCCUGGACCGACAUUGACGCUGAGGAGCGAAAGCUAGGGGAGCAAACGGG
RNAcentral lists this ribosomal RNA (253 nucleotides) under uncultured bacterium. RNAcentral describes it as "partial 16S ribosomal RNA". It matches the Rfam family "Bacterial small subunit ribosomal RNA", at positions 524 to 776 of the family's 1533-position model. The record is from RNAcentral.